AACCGCCUGGCCAGCCUCCUCACUUCAGUUCUCUUUGUCUUUCUCCAUCUCUCCUCUCACUCUCUCAAUCUUGGUCUGACGGCGGCCGGUCUCGAUCCAUUGCCCUCGGUCCACCUCUAUCUCUCUCGCUCUCUCAAUCUCGGCUCGUUAGCAGCGGAUCACCAACCCACCGCCCUGGCCCACCUCUUGCUUCUCUCUCUAUCUCUCCUCUCUCGCUCUCUCAAUCUCGGCCCACCGGCGGCCAGUUAGCAGUGACCGACCCACCACCCUCGGCCUGCCUCUCGCUUAUCUCUCUAUCUCUGUCUCUCCUCUCUCAAUUUCUCAAUCUCAGUCAACCGCCAGCUGGUCACCGACCCAUCAUCCACUGGCUGUGCCUGUGUAGUUUGCAGCGGACCAGUGGCUUUGAAAGCGGUAGCUUUUCCCUCAUUUGUCGAAAACUGUAGUGAUUUUAGGCGGUCCUCCAGGUAACAAUGGUUUUCCUCCUUCAUGCUAACCGGCAGUAGACAACAUCAAUAGCAAUAGCAACCAUGCCAACAGCAGUCAGUGCAUUAGCACCAAAGAUGGUGAAUGCUUUAGUUUGUGCAAGUGAUUGGAUAAAGCACUAUGGCGAACAUCUCCCUAUCAAUUUUGUAUAGCUAAAGAUGCAGACACAGAUGGAGAUGGCUUCCUAAGCAUAGAAAAGAUUUUUUAUUGCAUUUACAAGUUGUUGGUUUGACAACAAAGAUUGGUUGACACCCAACGGGUUGUAAUUUUGACUACAAUAGACCUGGAUAAGUAUGAAUUUCAUAUUACAUUAUAUAAGAUUUGAAAUAAUAUCAUAAAAAUCACAAUGUUGGUUUUUUUUUUCUA
Nymphaea colorata (pocket water lily) is the source of this 849-nucleotide long non-coding RNA. RefSeq lists it as uncharacterized. The record is from RefSeq and is a predicted model, not a curated record. The transcript has 3 exons. NCBI's taxonomy places the organism in Eukaryota, Viridiplantae, Streptophyta, Magnoliopsida, Nymphaeales, Nymphaeaceae.